UGCCUAGGGCCUGGCCAAACGAAAGCCAAGGCCAAAGCUCACAAUUAUAAUACCGUCCACACGCACACGCACACGUACACACAUACACUCUCUCUCUCUCCGUUAGCUACUUUUGGGACCCGUACGCWAAGCAAAUUUAUCCUUGGCACGCAAUCCAGCCAAGAUGCUGGGACGGGCCCAAAGAGUUGAGCCCCACACGCAUAUUUACGCAUAUUGGCUGUAAAGCCACACGGCACAGGCUCAGGCUCAGGCUCAGGCUCCGGCAGAGCAAGAGGCUGAGGCAGAGGCACAGUCCCGCAGGCUAAGGCCGAAAACUCUUAAGCUUAGCGCCAGAACUUUGUGGUAUUGUUGUGUGUCCUUGGAGAAUUAUGCUGACAAGCAGCUGAGGCAACACCAACACCAGCAACAACAACAAUGACAAGGACAAUAGCCCGCACAACUACAGCUGCUCAAUAUUCAACACAGCAUCUAUGGGCAUGUGUGUGUGUGUGUUUCAUGUAUUUUAUAUUGGAGCUGCGGCGCUAUUACGACAUUUCCCAGGCGUGCUUACGACCAGUGGCUCUGGUUUAGAGCAUCUUCUGCAAA
Long non-coding RNA from Drosophila arizonae, 585 nucleotides. Lineage: Eukaryota; Metazoa; Arthropoda; Insecta; Diptera; Drosophilidae. The record is from RefSeq and is a predicted model, not a curated record.